UUACUUGUUUACAUCUUCUUUUGCAAACCAACAGAAACACUAAUAGAAAAAUGGCCGGUGUAAUGAAGUUGGUAUGCUUGGUCUUGGCCUGCAUGAUUGUGGCAGGUCCGAUCACAGCGAACGCAGCUCUGACCUGUGGCACCGUUAACAGCAACGUGGCACCGUGCAUUGGCUACAUAACCCAAGGUGGACCCCUUCCCGGAGCGUGCUGCACCGGUGUUAGUAAACUUAACAGCAUGGCCCGUACAACCCCGGACCGUCAGCAAGCUUGUCGUUGCCUUAAAACUGCUGCUAGCGCCUUAGGCCCUAGUCUCAACGCUGGCCGUGCAGCUGGAAUUCCCAAGGCAUGUGGAGUCAGUGUUCCUUUCCCAAUCAGC
This 377-nucleotide long non-coding RNA is filed under the name Brassica napus (rape). RNAcentral's name for it is "long non-coding RNA (BNAP_LNC003769)". Lineage: Eukaryota; Viridiplantae; Streptophyta; Magnoliopsida; Brassicales; Brassicaceae. The record is from RNAcentral.